RNAcentral lists this transfer RNA (73 nucleotides) under Solirubrobacterales bacterium. Its description in RNAcentral is "tRNA-Gln". It matches the Rfam family "tRNA". Rfam says of the family: Transfer RNA (tRNA) molecules are approximately 80 nucleotides in length. Their secondary structure includes four short double-helical elements and three loops (D, anti-codon, and T loops). Further hydrogen bonds mediate the characteristic L-shaped molecular structure. tRNAs have two regions of fundamental functional importance: the anti-codon, which is responsible for specific mRNA codon recognition, and the 3' end, to which the tRNAs corresponding amino acid is attached (by aminoacyl-tRNA synthetases). tRNAs cope with the degeneracy of the genetic code in two manners: having more than one tRNA (with a specific anti-codon) for a particular amino acid; and 'wobble' base-pairing, i.e. permitting non-standard base-pairing at the 3rd anti-codon position. Lineage: Bacteria; Bacillati; Actinomycetota; Thermoleophilia; Solirubrobacterales. The record is from RNAcentral.
UGGGGAGUGGUGUAACUGGCCAGCACGGGACACUUUGGAUGUCCAGGAUGGGGUUCGAAUCCCUGCUCCCCAG